Molecule: transfer RNA, 88 nt
Filed under: Methanobacteriota archaeon
Lineage: Archaea; Methanobacteriati; Methanobacteriota
Also listed under: 5 other names
Description: Euryarchaeota archaeon tRNA-Ser
Rfam family: tRNA
About the family: Transfer RNA (tRNA) molecules are approximately 80 nucleotides in length. Their secondary structure includes four short double-helical elements and three loops (D, anti-codon, and T loops). Further hydrogen bonds mediate the characteristic L-shaped molecular structure. tRNAs have two regions of fundamental functional importance: the anti-codon, which is responsible for specific mRNA codon recognition, and the 3' end, to which the tRNAs corresponding amino acid is attached (by aminoacyl-tRNA synthetases). tRNAs cope with the degeneracy of the genetic code in two manners: having more than one tRNA (with a specific anti-codon) for a particular amino acid; and 'wobble' base-pairing, i.e. permitting non-standard base-pairing at the 3rd anti-codon position.
Source: RNAcentral
GCCGAGGUAGCUUAGCGGACAAAAGCGCCGGCCUUGAGAGCCGGUGUCCCUUUAUCGGGACACAAGGGUUCAAAUCCCUUCCUCGGCG